GAUGAAGAACGUAGUGAAAUGCGAUAAGUAAUGUGAAUUGCAGAAUUCAGUGAAUCAUCGAAUCUUUGAACGCACAUUGCGCCCGCCAGAAUUCUGGCGGGCAUGCCUGUUCGAGCGUCAUUUCAACCCUCGAGCUCCCCUUGGGGAGCCCGGCGUUGGGGACCGGCAGUAACACCGCCGGCCCCGAAAUGGAGUGGCGGCCCCGCCCGCGGCGACCUCUGCGUAGUAAAUCCACUCGCACCGGGACCCGGGCGCGGCCACGCCGUAAAACACCCAACUUCCGAAUGUUGACCUCGAAUCAGGUAGGAAUACCCGCUGAACUUAAGCAUAUCAAUAAGCGGAGGA
RNAcentral lists this unclassified non-coding RNA (345 nucleotides) under soil metagenome. RNAcentral's name for it is "partial contains 5.8S ribosomal RNA, internal transcribed spacer 2, and large subunit ribosomal RNA". The stretch from base 1 to 120 matches the Rfam family "5.8S ribosomal RNA", at positions 35 to 154 of the family's 154-position model. The record is from RNAcentral.